GCAGGUCUGGGGUGAAUUUUAAAUUUUUCUCAUCCCUAGCUUAUUUAAUUUUCUAGUAUUUGACCUUCCUAAAAGCAGGCAACUGUUAACUUAAUGCUAAUGGUGAAAGCGAAAGCAACAUGGUGGAUCCUUCAUUUUAUUCUACUUCACUGCCAAUUUGUGUAACUGGGAAGGACGUAAGUUUUUGCUCUCUGAAAAAAGAAUGUAUUUAUCACAUCUCCUCCCUUGCACAGAAUGAGCAAGAAUUUAUAUUGGGAAUAAAAGGAUAGUAGCUGUUUCUUUCACUUGCUACUUCAGUGGAAGACAG
This 307-nucleotide long non-coding RNA is filed under the name Homo sapiens (human). RNAcentral describes it as "non-protein coding lnc-MGST1-4:1". The record is from RNAcentral. Lineage: Eukaryota; Metazoa; Chordata; Mammalia; Primates; Hominidae.